Molecule: ribosomal RNA, 305 nt
Filed under: uncultured bacterium
Lineage: Bacteria
Description: bacterial SSU rRNA
Rfam family: Bacterial small subunit ribosomal RNA
Source: RNAcentral
GUUCCUACGGGGGGCAGCAGUCGGGAAUAUUGCGCAAUGGAGGAAACUCUGACGCAGUGACGCCGCGUGCAGGAAGAAGGUUUUCGGAUUGUAAACUGCUUUAGACAGGGAAGAAACAAGACAGUACCUGUAGAAUAAGCUCCGGCUAACUACGUGCCAGCAGCCGCGGUAAUACGUAGGGAGCAAGCGUUAUCCGGAUUUAUUGGGUGUAAAGGGUGCGUAGGCGGUCGGAUAAGUUAGAGGUGAAAUCCCGAGGCUCAACUUCGGAAUUGCCUCUGAUACUGUUCGGCUAGAGAGUAGUUGCG